RNAcentral lists this ribosomal RNA (540 nucleotides) under Kluyveromyces lactis. RNAcentral's name for it is "LSU rRNA". It matches the Rfam family "Eukaryotic large subunit ribosomal RNA", at positions 66 to 646 of the family's 3401-position model. Lineage: Eukaryota; Fungi; Ascomycota; Saccharomycetes; Saccharomycetales; Saccharomycetaceae. The record is from RNAcentral.
CAACCGGGAAUUGCCUUAGUAACGGCGAGUGAAGCGGCAAAAGCUCAAAUUUGAAAUCUGGCGUCUUCGACGUCCGAGUUGUAAUUUGAAGAAGGCAACUUUGUAGCUGGUCCUUGUCUAUGUUCCUUGGAACAGGACGUCAUAGAGGGUGAGAAUCCCGUGUGGCGAGGAUCCCAGUUAUUUGUAAAGUGCUUUCGACGAGUCGAGUUGUUUGGGAAUGCAGCUCUAAGUGGGUGGUAAAUUCCAUCUAAAGCUAAAUAUUGGCGAGAGACCGAUAGCGAACAAGUACAGUGAUGGAAAGAUGAAAAGAACUUUGAAAAGAGAGUGAAAAAGUACGUGAAAUUGUUGAAAGGGAAGGGCAUUUGAUCAGACAUGGCGUUUGCUUCGGCUUUCGCUGGGCCAGCAUCAGUUUUAGCGGUUGGAUAAAUCCUCGGGAAUGUGGCUCUGCUUCGGUAGAGUGUUAUAGCCCGUGGGAAUACAGCCAGCUGGGACUGAGGAUUGCGACUUUUGUCAAGGAUGCUGGCGUAAUGGUUAAAUGCC